RNAcentral lists this transfer RNA (54 nucleotides) under Dipodomys ordii (Ord's kangaroo rat). It matches the Rfam family "tRNA". From Rfam's summary of the family: Transfer RNA (tRNA) molecules are approximately 80 nucleotides in length. Their secondary structure includes four short double-helical elements and three loops (D, anti-codon, and T loops). Further hydrogen bonds mediate the characteristic L-shaped molecular structure. tRNAs have two regions of fundamental functional importance: the anti-codon, which is responsible for specific mRNA codon recognition, and the 3' end, to which the tRNAs corresponding amino acid is attached (by aminoacyl-tRNA synthetases). tRNAs cope with the degeneracy of the genetic code in two manners: having more than one tRNA (with a specific anti-codon) for a particular amino acid; and 'wobble' base-pairing, i.e. permitting non-standard base-pairing at the 3rd anti-codon position. Lineage: Eukaryota; Metazoa; Chordata; Mammalia; Rodentia; Heteromyidae. The record is from Rfam by way of RNAcentral.
GGGAAGGUGGCUCAGUGGUAGAGUGCUUGCCUUGCAUGCAUGAGGCCCUGCCUU